Lutra lutra (Eurasian river otter) is the source of this 393-nucleotide long non-coding RNA. RefSeq lists it as uncharacterized. Lineage: Eukaryota; Metazoa; Chordata; Mammalia; Carnivora; Mustelidae. The transcript is spliced from 3 exons. The record is from RefSeq and is a predicted model, not a curated record.
UAGACAGGUCACUGCCAGAUUGAAAUGUCUUACACGUUGUCUAGAUAAGGCAAGCAGCUGAUUGAAGAAGGCAUUCCCCAAUAUUGAGGUUCUGAAAUACCCUGUUGAUCAGAAAAUUUAUGGUUCUCCAGUCAUAGCACCAGAAAUAACAGCCAGGGUUCCCCACGCCCAAGAAACCUUCCACUGCCUGUCCUAUGACAAUUUUAGAAGACCUCAACAUUUCAAAGAACUUGAAAUAUAAGCAACCCCUAUUACAUGAUGUGUGCCAAAUAGCCUGAAGAAGUAGCUACUGACACUGGGAACCAAACCCUGGCAUUAAAAAAUGUUACUAACAAGCUACUCUUUUGGCUCCUAAACAAGAAUUGAAUUCAUAAGAUUCCCCAAAUACCCGUA